RNAcentral lists this ribosomal RNA (430 nucleotides) under Actinomadura nitritigenes. Its description in RNAcentral is "bacterial SSU rRNA". It matches the Rfam family "Bacterial small subunit ribosomal RNA", at positions 108 to 552 of the family's 1533-position model. Lineage: Bacteria; Bacillati; Actinomycetota; Actinomycetes; Streptosporangiales; Thermomonosporaceae. The record is from RNAcentral.
GAGUAACACGUGAGCAACCUGCCCCUGACUCUGGGAUAAGCCCGGGAAACUGGGUCUAAUACCGGAUACGACCACGGGUCGCAUGGCCUUGUGGUGGAAAGUUUUUCGGUUGGGGAUGGGCUCGCGGCCUAUCAGCUUGUUGGUGGGGUGAUGGCCUACCAAGGCGACGACGGGUAACCGGCCUGAGAGGGCGACCGGUCACACUGGGACUGAGACACGGCCCAGACUCCUACGGGAGGCAGCAGUGGGGAAUAUUGCGCAAUGGGCGGAAGCCUGACGCAGCGACGCCGCGUGGGGGAUGACGGCCUUCGGGUUGUAAACCUCUUUCAGCAGGGACGAAGCUAACGUGACGGUACCUGCAGAAGAAGCGCCGGCUAACUACGUGCCAGCAGCCGCGGUAAUACGUAGGGCGCAAGCGUUGUCCGGAAUU